This 253-nucleotide ribosomal RNA is filed under the name uncultured bacterium. Its description in RNAcentral is "partial 16S ribosomal RNA". It matches the Rfam family "Bacterial small subunit ribosomal RNA", at positions 524 to 776 of the family's 1533-position model. The record is from RNAcentral.
UACGGAGGGUGCGAGCGUUGUCCGGAAUCACUGGGCGUAAAGGGCGCGUAGGUGGCGCGACAAGUCAACGGUGAAAGCUCGGCGCUCAACGCCGAGUCGGCCGUCGAUACUGUUGGGCUUGAGCACUGUAGAGGCUAAUGGAAUUCCGGGUGUAGCGGUGGAAUGCGUAGAGAUCCGGAAGAACACCGGUGGCGAAGGCGGGUCUCUGGGCCGAUACUGACGCUGAGGAGCGAAAGCGUGGGGAGCGAACAGG